Molecule: long non-coding RNA, 836 nt
Filed under: Mus musculus (house mouse)
Lineage: Eukaryota; Metazoa; Chordata; Mammalia; Rodentia; Muridae
Description: alncRNA-EC98
Source: RNAcentral
AUCAGGGUGUUUCUUGAUUGAACUCUGACUUUUAUAAAGCACAGUUAUAGAAUUUGGGGUUAUCUAAAUUUGGGGAUUUAGGAGAUUUUCUGUUCAAAUCCCAAGCUCAGUAUCCAGAGAUCGGAGAUUGGCACGAGUUGAGCUGACAAGAACCCAAAGAUUAGAAGACAGACAUGCAGGCAGAGACUUCACGGAAAGGUGACAGAGGCAAGGAAACCACAAACACUGAAGUGCUAGCAGAGGAGGUAAAGAGCCACUAACGUGAAGAAGAGAGCACGGAAGGCUUCUAGUUGGAGAUCGUGGACAAGGUGUGAAGCGUUUUAAAAGAAAUGUGGAAGAGACAUUACAGCAACAUUUUUCACAGUCAAGUAGUAUCCCCAAGCCAACGUUUUAAAGAUUUAUUUUGAUUUUUCAUCAUGCGUGUGCGCAUGUGUGCGCAUGCGCACAUGUGUGUGUGCCCGUGCGCAUGACUGAAGUUGCUUGGUUACAGUUUCUAGGGGGCAAAUUUCCUGGAGCCAGAGUUACAGGCAGUUGUGAGCCACUCAGUGCAGAUGCUAGGGACUGAACUUGGGUUCUUUACAAGAGCAGCACACACCCUCAGCUGCUGAGUCAGCUCUCCAGCCCCUCUCUCCAAAUAAAUAUUUUAAUGUAAACGUUGAUUCAGCCUGAAGUCCCGAUUCUCUAAGAAGUAUGAUGUUCAGAGUGCUGGCCCCCAGAUCGCAUCUGGUCAUAGUUCUGCAAUACUGCUAAUUUCCAUGUGGAACCUGUGGAGGUUACUGCAUGCUGAUUUUACAGUGGAGAGGUGGGGAAGUAGGAGAUAAAAUGUGAGAUCGGAG